ACUCCUACGGGAGGCAGCAGUGAGGAAUAUUGGUCAAUGGGCGCAAGCCUGAACCAGCCAUCCCGCGUGCAGGAAGACGGCGCUAUGCGUUGUAAACUGCUUUUCCAGGGGGAGAAACUUGCGUACGUGAUACGCAAUUGACGGUACCCUGGGAAUAAGCAUCGGCUAACUCCGUGCCAGCAGCCGCGGUAAU
This 193-nucleotide ribosomal RNA is filed under the name uncultured bacterium. Its description in RNAcentral is "partial 16S ribosomal RNA". It matches the Rfam family "Bacterial small subunit ribosomal RNA", at positions 335 to 524 of the family's 1533-position model. The record is from RNAcentral.